CACUGGAGGCAGCGGUUCAUCGAUCUCUUCCUGAGAAUUUUGUUGUGAGAAUAACACAAAUACAUGAAUCGAUCGAUAAACCUCUGCAUCCAGC
Non-coding RNA from Gossypium raimondii (Peruvian cotton), 94 nucleotides. Lineage: Eukaryota; Viridiplantae; Streptophyta; Magnoliopsida; Malvales; Malvaceae. The record is from Rfam.